CAGCACCGUACGUUUCACAGUAGUAAACUUGGCAACAGCUGCCCCCUACACGGUCAAAUCGACAAAUAACUAUGCGCCGACGUCUGAUCAGACACAGUUCUUAUUUCACUUGAGAGAUUUGCACGAAUGAGCCUCAUUCACGAAGGUUAUUCGAUCUUAAAACAUCGAUAAACGAAGGCGUGGCUCGAUUGUUUGAAGUAGACAAGAUAACGUAACAUGAAUCGAAGUGAAUGGGAUGUUGGAUGUUGUAAUUUAA
Long non-coding RNA from Apis florea (little honeybee), 256 nucleotides. The record is from RefSeq and is a predicted model, not a curated record. Lineage: Eukaryota; Metazoa; Arthropoda; Insecta; Hymenoptera; Apidae.